ACGUAGGGUGCAAGCGUUAAUCGGAAUUACUGGGCGUAAAGCGUGCGCAGGCGGUUCGGAAAGAAGGAUGUGAAAUCCCAGGGCUCAACCUUGGAACUGCAUUCUUAACUACCGAACUAGAGUAUGUCAGAGGGGGGUGGAAUUCCGCGUGUAGCAGUGAAAUGCGUAGAGAUGCGGAGGAAGACCGAUGGCGAAGGCAGCUCACUGGGAUAGUACUGACGCUCAGGCGCGAAAGCGUGGGGAGCAAACAG
This 251-nucleotide ribosomal RNA is filed under the name uncultured prokaryote. RNAcentral's name for it is "partial 16S rRNA". It matches the Rfam family "Bacterial small subunit ribosomal RNA", at positions 525 to 775 of the family's 1533-position model. The record is from RNAcentral.